CCUGUCCUUUUGUUUCAGUAUACUCUAUUUAUCUCUUUUGAAUCAGUAUUCUCACCCAUUGGCAAUUCCCGUUUUUCUAAAUUUUGCUUUCAGGAGCCAGGGCGCUUGCCCCUUUCUUGCUACAUAGAUAUGCUCAGAAUUACUGUAUGGCCGGCCCUCUCAAGGCCGCUCUCAUGCUGAUUAAGUAUCUGGUAGUUUAGGACUAUAGCAAUGUGACCUGUACAUCACUGUCAGAUCAAGAGCCAGUCUAUACUGUGGUACGUCAAUGAUAGAGUGCCAGAGAGGACCGACAUUAUUCACAUUAAAACUAAUUUGUUACUAAUUUUUAUGUUAAGAAGCUCAAAAGUAUACUGUACAUGUACAAUGUACAUGUAUAACAAGUCUUGCUCGUUCAUGCCCAUCAGUUAUGAAGAGAAUAUUUCAUUUAUCAAGUACACUAUCAGCAAGUCAGUCAAACAAUUACCAGUUUUUUCAAGCCAUUUCAAACCUGAAGCUAUUUGGACUUUAUACUAUGAGACUAGAUAAUCUCAAAUAGUGGGAUUGUUGCCACUGCUGAAGGUUACUAUUGUAAUACAGAGGUAGGUAAGUACCAAGAUCCCCCACUUCAGCUGGACCAACCAACUGGUGGAGUAUCUUCCUUAUAAUUCUCUGAUUGAAAUUUAUAUGAUAAAAGUGAGGUUGCUGAGUCUUGUUUAAUGAAAUAUUUGAAUAAUUACAUGUACAUCUAUGAAUAGAACACUUCAUUUAUUACUUAUGCCAUCAUGCAGUCACACAAUUACCAGUUGCAUGAGAUGUCGUCUGAUAAACAAGUACAUCUACAUGUGUAUGCAUGUCCUUCAGUGGACUUACAUGUGUAUUUUUUGAUUUUUUUUCUCAAGCCAUUUGCUAUUUUGACUAAGAUCUAAGAAUCAGUGUGACGUGACUGAUGUACUUCUGCUUCUCAUCCCUGAAAAUAUUUAAAAUUUCUAUGACUGAAAAUGUAUGUACAUGUAAAUGUACUGUACUUUAUGACUGAAAAUUUAUUACUUUUUUGUAAGUUUUAAAAAUUAUAUUAUAUUUAAUAUGUGUUGUUACAAAUACACAUCCAAAAACAGUUAA
This 1098-nucleotide long non-coding RNA is filed under the name Amphimedon queenslandica. RNAcentral's name for it is "uncharacterized LOC109583871, transcript variant X2". The record is from RNAcentral. Lineage: Eukaryota; Metazoa; Porifera; Demospongiae; Haplosclerida; Niphatidae.